Phrynosoma platyrhinos (Desert horned lizard) is the source of this 70-nucleotide non-coding RNA. The record is from the annotation of a GenBank genome assembly. NCBI's taxonomy places the organism in Eukaryota, Metazoa, Chordata, Lepidosauria, Squamata, Phrynosomatidae.
GCAAGCAUGGUGUAGUGGUCUGAGUGUUGGACUAUGACUCUGGAGAUCAGGGUUCAAUUUCCUGCUUGGC